AAACAUCAGUCUUUCUCUCUUUGCUUCAAGGAGAUAAGAAAAUCUAAGAAAAAAAUUGAAGAAUCAGCAGCAAUUAUGUCAAGCAUGCAUUUCGGAAGAGAUGUACCGUGAAUCCUUAAUCUUUUUGAAAGAAUUGAUCACCUGGAAGUUGAUUAUUAAGGAUGUUUGAUGAAGAGUCUGGAAGUUAUGACUUGAUACAGAGAGGGGCAAAGUUUGAUUUGGUUUAAACCUGGAUUAGCCAUGAAUUAGGAAAGUGUAUUGGUGAUCUUGUGUAUUUGAAAACUGGUACUCUUUGCCUACGGUGAUUUUGCAAUAUCCAUACGGUGAGUUUUGGUGUACGUUCUAGUGUACUGAAGAUUGAUUGUUUUUGAAUUUUGGUUGAGGAUGAGUGAUUUUUUUGUACAUGGUUAUCAAAUGAAUACGCAACCUUCAGAAGCUGAAGCAGGUUUUGAUAUUCGGAUUCCACCUACAGUAGACCCAUAACUGUUGAUGAAGAGGUGAUGAAGGACAGACAUAUUUUUGGAGUUUCACAUCUAAGGAACAGAAGAGUCUUGUCUCAAGGAAUCGCAAAUGGGCUUAUUUCUCUUCGCAAAGGAAAAAUUCCAUGUUCGUGAGAUUCUCUGAGCAGAUGGUCUUCUUCUUGUUCGUUGAGCAAGCUGCCAAUUUUAAUUUUCCCUUUCUGAACCUUCUAGCCAGUUAGCUUGUCUUCUGAAAUUUAUCUGCUAUUUUUUGUUAUAAAUACCAAGCAAUCGUCAUGCUUCAUCCUUCACUAGUAUGUUAAGUUGUAAGUGAGAGUUGUAGGAUACUUUACAUGUUAAGUACCUUUUAUGUAUGUGUGCUUUAACUGUAGUCCAGUUUUCUCUAACAUCUCGCCUCCAACCUUCACUUUUUUGGAUCUUGAACUUGAAGAACAACGAU
Molecule: long non-coding RNA, 918 nt
Organism: Papaver somniferum (opium poppy)
Lineage: Eukaryota; Viridiplantae; Streptophyta; Magnoliopsida; Ranunculales; Papaveraceae
Exons: 3
Source: RefSeq, a predicted model, not a curated record